UACGUAGGGUCCGAGUGUUGUCCGGAGUUACUGGGCGUAAAGCGCGCGCAGGCGGCGGUGUUGGCCCGGCGUGAAAGCCCCCGGCUCAACCGGGGAGAGUCGUCGGGGACCGCACCGCUUGAGGGCGGUAGGGGCUGGUGGAAUGCCUGGUGUAGUGGUGAAAUGCGUAGAGAUCAGGCAGAACACCUGGGGCGAAGGCGGCCAGCUGGGCCGUCCCUGACGCUGAGGCACGAAAGCGUGGGGAUCAAACAGG
RNAcentral lists this ribosomal RNA (253 nucleotides) under uncultured bacterium. RNAcentral describes it as "partial 16S ribosomal RNA". It matches the Rfam family "Bacterial small subunit ribosomal RNA", at positions 524 to 776 of the family's 1533-position model. The record is from RNAcentral.